This 71-nucleotide transfer RNA is filed under the name Enterospora canceri. It matches the Rfam family "tRNA". From Rfam's summary of the family: Transfer RNA (tRNA) molecules are approximately 80 nucleotides in length. Lineage: Eukaryota; Fungi; Microsporidia; Enterocytozoonidae. The record is from Rfam by way of RNAcentral.
GGCCUUUUAGUUUAAAGGUAAAACACAUGUUUCGUAAUCAUGAGCUACGGGUUCGAUUCCCGUUUAGGCCU